Molecule: long non-coding RNA, 1903 nt
Organism: Oncorhynchus masou masou (cherry salmon)
Lineage: Eukaryota; Metazoa; Chordata; Actinopteri; Salmoniformes; Salmonidae
Exons: 3
Source: RefSeq, a predicted model, not a curated record
AUGUAGCUGCCACCUAGAGAUGAAGCCCUGCUAGAAAAAUCUUUCCACAGCAGUCGGCCUCGUAGGUAGCUGGGGACCUGAAUACAAUGCCUUUGUCAUCUGUUACUUUAUCUCUCAGAUGCACCUGCUGACUUGCGGUUGUGGACUAUUGCACAGUUGAGUGACCAGCACAGUUCAAAGAUGACUUUAGCACAUACGGAAGUGGUCUGAAACUAAAGAUUAUCUUCUCGCCAACAGUGUUUGUGGUCUUUAGUGUUAUUAUAUGGCUAUAAUCUUCCUUUAAAACGUGACCGAGAUCCAUCUGGAGUAUUCGGAGGAGGCGAUUCAAGUUCUUGAAAAAUCAGCCAUAGGGUGACCGGCUGUAAAAGAACAGAAAACAGACAAUUGUUUUAAGUGGUUGUGGUUCUUCCAGCAGGACAACGACCCCAAACACACAUCAAGAAGCACGGAAUGGUUAAAAAGAAGAACUCUGAGGGUGCCAAUAUAUUUGGCCAGAACUGUAUUUGAAAAUAAUAGUUAUUCAAAGUUGGGAUAUUUUUUUUUUUUUACAUAUUGGCCUUAUCCAUCCUCUGCCAUAUUCCAAAGCAUACUGCUCUGUUUGGUUUUGAUCACUUGUGGGGUUUUUUCUUAAUGUGAAACAAAUGUCUGCAUGGACUGACUCUGAAUACACUGCGACCUGGUAACAUAUUUGCAAUGUAAAGGUAGAUGUUCAUGAGGGAUCACGAAUGGUAACUGUUGAGUCCAUCUAUGGAACUGACUUCCUGAUCAUUUCAAGAGUCUGCAAGAUUGUAAUGAAUUUAACAGUGCUGCUAACAGGGUGGUGAAUGGUGCAUGCCAUUCUCUUUAGUAAGUGGAUGUAUUAAAAAACAUAGGUAGCGCUUUACAUAACACAGAAUGAAGUGGUAAUAGAAUGGUAAUAAGUUCUAGUUAUCAAACAUUAUUUACUCGGAUACCCCUUCAUUUCAUUGUAAUUAUAUUGUUGAAGGGCAGUACACCACAUCCUUUGUGCCAUAAUAUAGACAACUUACUUGAUCCAUAAAUCCAAUAUCUCCUCUUUAGUAAGUUUGAUCAUAUGCAUGUUCUUACACAGCUAGCCUCUAGAGGGUAGCAUUGGACAAUUGUACAGUAAACAGGCUUUAAAUGAGAGGAUGAAAGUGUUGUGUUUGAUGCCUCUGAUCUUUUAAAUAGCAAGUGGUAUCAAUGGGUAAAUCUCAUCCUAUAGAUGUGCAAGCAAUGCGUUAUGCUACAUUCAACAGUAAUAAAUGAGUCACUGAACAUUUGUGAUUCUCUGUCAUGUUUCUGUCUUUCUUCAACUGUGCCAUUCUCUGAAUACUAAGAAACAGACAGUGAGCUCCAUAUAGUAACAGGGAUACUGUUUGAUCUUCAUGAUUGAAAAAGCAGGGUAUCCCUAAACUAGAACAAAGAUGGGGGUUAAUUCAGGGCACAGUGUUUUAUUGAGGACUGUAGCUCACUGGUCAUUUCUCAAUACACCUGCCACAAUAGAUGUCACGAUUAUGAUGCUGGCCGGAAGGCAUGCAUUGUUGUUGUUCUGAACAGUCAGAUAGCUAGCAACAAGACAAGCUGCCAUGUGAGGAAUCGUAGGUGGCUCGUUGUAUCUUCUUAUUGAUACCAUUGUCACGACUUACGCCGUAGUCGGUCCCUCUCCUUGUUCGGGCGGCGUUCGGUGGUCGACGUCACCGGCCUUCUAGCCAUUGCCGAUCCACUUUUUAUUUUCCAUUUGUUUUGUCUUUGUCUUACGCACCUGGUUUCAAUUCCCAAUUACUUGUUCAUUAUUUAACCCUCUGUUCCCCCAUGUUUGUUUGUGAGUGAUUGUUUUUAUGUAAUAUGGUCCGCUUAUGUGGGCUCGCUUAUUUGGUAUUGUCUUUGUCUAUUUUGAGUAAAA